UACGAGGGGUGCUAGCGUUGUCCGGAAUUACUGGGCGUAAAGGGUUCGUAGGCGUCUUGCCAAGUUGAUCGUUAAAGCCACCGGCUUAACCGGUGAUCUGCGAUCAAAACUGGCGAGAUAGAAUAUGUGAGGGGAAUGUGGAAUUCCUGGUGUAGCGGUGACAUGCGUAGAUAUCAGGAGGAACACCAAUGGCGAAGGCA
This 200-nucleotide ribosomal RNA is filed under the name uncultured bacterium. RNAcentral's name for it is "partial 16S ribosomal RNA". It matches the Rfam family "Bacterial small subunit ribosomal RNA", at positions 524 to 723 of the family's 1533-position model. The record is from RNAcentral.